CCUCCCCGCCGCGCGGGUCCCUGAGGCGAGCUGUGGCGGUGCCGCGGCGGCUGCUGCCUCGGGUCCUGCCCCGGUUCUCGCUGCGCGGCCGCGCUCGCCUCGCCGGCCCAGGGAGACGGGUGAGCUCCGGGCAGGCCCGCCCCGCAGCCUGCGGUCGCGCCCCGGCCUGAAGACCCUCUCGCCGGCCGGCCGGCCGCACGCACCACACCCCCCCCCCGCCUCCGCCGGCCUUUGGUAGCGCUGCCGCCGAGUGACCGCCUGCCGCGUCCGCUGGUGCCCAGCCCCGGCGCACCGGGUGUCCUGAGCGCCGGGAUGCAGAAGCUAAGAGAGGAAUAUAUGAAAUCUGCCGGAGCUGAACUGCAAUAGAACAGGAAAGCUACAGUUUUGCCUCACCACUUGAAGCACAGGCACAAAAAAACAUACUAUGAGAUGGAGUAACAUAAAAAUAUUGUCAUGCCUGCCACUGCAGCGGGAACUCCAAAAGUUGGGGAGUUGCAGAGGGAGGAUGUCCAAUUUUAGGAGACUGCUCCAGUGUAAGAUACAUCUGGUAAAGUGGACGGAGACUGCAUGGAUCAAAGAGUUCCAAUUCCAACCUUUUAUGUUGUAGGCUAAAAAACUGCAAGCUGCAGUGGGGAGUAUGGAUCACUGAACACAAACCCACAAGCAACAGAAAACUAAGAACACAUAUGUGCUUGACCUCAGCACUGCUGCCUGUAAGUUGUUCUCAAACCAACAAAAACAUUUCAGUGGCUGGAAAAGAUGAACAGCCCUGGUUGCCAAGUCAUGGCCCGAACUAUUCCAGGGGGCAGAAAAGACAGCUGGACUGCUGGUAAAGAACAAGGCUAUUUAAGGAGACUCGUUCUGGCCUAAUGGAAAAAGCAAGGAUAUAAUUAUCAAUUAUUUUAAACUAAAACAACAUUUCAGAUCCAGGAAAAAAAACAUCACAAGGAAGCACAAGAGAGAAGCUGGUUAGCUUCAGCUGGCAGCUCGAUCCAGGUACAAAAAGAGCAGAACGUGCUGCCCUUUAGAAGCAAGAAAAUGAGAUGUUUUCCACAAGAUGGUGAUGCUUCAACCUACAAAGCAAACUCUGAAUGCAGCUGCACUGUUGUUCCAAGCACUGGCACAAAGCUGAUCUGAUAACAGGCAGCCACAAAAGUGGUCAGUGGAACAGAGCUAAAGAAAUUAUUUUUAAAUAUAUGGCCAUAUGUUUAUAUCUCCAAGUCAUACUGGUGAUCUGCUUUCCCGUUCAGCCCUCUGGGCAGCUGCUUCUUGUGUGCUGCAGUGUUCCAUAUUAAGAAUUCCUAUGCAAAAUUCUGGCUGUCACCCAGAAUGCAUGUUACAGAGCAAACACACAAAGCCAAACAAACAACACUCCUAGAGUCUCUGUGAGAAGGGCCCGAUACACAACUGGCAAGGGGGGCUCAGAGCCGAAAUCUCCUAGAGAGGGAAAGCUCUUGAGCGUGACCAUCAAAUGCAGCCUUGUCUGCUGCAAAAACCCCACCAUUACUGAACUUAUCACCAUUCUUUUACCACUGCCUUAGUCACGGAUUGUUAACAGCCUCAGACUUCUGAACGGCUGCCCCAGCAGAUGCUUAGAAGUCACAACAGCAUUUAACAUGAUUUGUAAUGAGGGAGGGCAGCAGAAAAUGUUUUGGUUUUCUUUAACAGGAAUGCUCCGUUCAGAGCACAAUGCCUAUUACAAAAAAGGAACAAAACGUUGCUUUAGAAUUCAGUCAAAAGUGCAAGUUUAAAAUAAUUCUCGUCAUAUUUAUGACCUGUUCCUUAGCACUUCCUCUGCUAGCAGUUGCACGUUACAGCAUACAGCUCUAUAAAUACAUGUGGUAGCCCAAUAGUUGAAUGUCAUGGUAUAUGAUGAAACUUUUACAAGAACAUUCCCCAGGACUUCCCAAAAUUAACAGCUCUGAACAGCUUUUGUAAUUCCUAUUCAGGACUAAAGCAGAUUAAAUAUUUUAGAGAUUUAAAUG
Long non-coding RNA from Grus americana (Whooping crane), 1985 nucleotides. RefSeq lists it as uncharacterized. The transcript is spliced from 2 exons. The record is from RefSeq and is a predicted model, not a curated record. Lineage: Eukaryota; Metazoa; Chordata; Aves; Gruiformes; Gruidae.